GACGAACGCUGGCGGCGUGCUUAACACAUGCAAGUCGAACGGAAAGGCCCUGCUUUUGUGGGGUGCUCGAGUGGCGAACGGGUGAGUAACACGUGAGUAACCUGCCCUUGACUUUGGGAUAACUUCAGGAAACUGGGGCUAAUACCGGAUAGGAGCUCCUGCUGCAUGGUGGGGGUUGGAAAGUUUCGGCGGUUGGGGAUGGACUCGCGGCUUAUCAGCUUGUUGGUGGGGUAGUGGCUUACCAAGGCUUUGACGGGUAGCCGGCCUGAGAGGGUGACCGGCGACAUGGGGACUGAGAUACGGCCCAGACGCCUACGGGAGGCAGCAGUGGGAAAUAUGGCACAACGGGGGGAAGCCUGUUGCAGCAACGCCGCGUGCGGGAUGACGGCCUUCGGGUUGUAAACCGCUUUCGCCGGUGACGAAGCGUGAGUGACGGUAAUGGGUAAAGAAGCACCGGCUAACUACGUG
Molecule: ribosomal RNA, 468 nt
Filed under: uncultured bacterium
Lineage: Bacteria
Description: partial 16S ribosomal RNA
Rfam family: Bacterial small subunit ribosomal RNA
Source: RNAcentral